GGGGUGACCGCGUGCUUUUUGCAUAAUGAGCUCGGGAGUUAGCCUCUGUGGCGAGCCUAAGGCCUAACGGGCCGGAGGCGGAGCGAAAGCGAGUCUGAAUAGGGCGCGCAGUCGCAGGGGCUAGACGCGAAACCCGUGUGAUCUACCCAUGGCCAGGGUGAAGGAGGGGUAAGACCCUCUGGAGGCCCGAACCCAUAUUCGUUGAAAAGAAUUGGGAUGAGCUGUGGGGAGGAGUUAAAGUCUAAUCAAACCGGGAAAUAGCUCGUUCUCUCCGAAAUAACUUUAGGGUUAGCCUCGAGUGGCAAGCAUUGGGGGUAGAGCUACUGGAUGGGUGGCGGGCCCUCACGGGUACCCCGCCCAACCAAACUCCGAAUACCAAUGCCCAAGGCUCGGGAGAUAGACGGCGAGUGACAAUAUCCGUCGUCAAAAGGAGAACAAUCCAGACCGCCGGCUAAGGUCCCAAAUCGAUGCUCAGUUAGGAAGGAAGUCAGAUUGCCGUGACAGCCAGGAUGUUGGCUUAGAAGCAGCCAUCAUUUAAAGAGUGCGUAACAGCUCACUGGUCGAGGAAUCCGGCGCCGAUAAUGAUCGGGAAUAAGACGCAAACCGAAGCUGCGGAAUUCGAAAGAAUUGGUAGAGGAGCGUUCUUGUCAGCGUCGAAGCAGAACGGGCAACGUUCUGUGGAGCGGCAAGAAGUGAUUAUGCCGGCUUGAGUAACGAUAAAACAGGUGAAAAUCCUGUUCGCCGAAAGAGUAAGGUUUCCUGGGCAAGGUAAAUCCGCCCAGGGUUAGUCGGAACCUAAGGCGAGGCCGAAAGGCGUAGUCGAUGGAC
This 828-nucleotide ribosomal RNA is filed under the name Isochrysis galbana. RNAcentral's name for it is "partial Bacterial large subunit ribosomal RNA". It matches the Rfam family "Bacterial large subunit ribosomal RNA", at positions 590 to 1423 of the family's 2925-position model. Lineage: Eukaryota; Haptophyta; Isochrysidales; Isochrysidaceae. The record is from RNAcentral.